Molecule: ribosomal RNA, 214 nt
Filed under: uncultured bacterium
Lineage: Bacteria
Description: partial 16S ribosomal RNA
Rfam family: Bacterial small subunit ribosomal RNA
Source: RNAcentral
CACAACCUUCCUACAAGUGGGGAAUAGCCCAGAGAAAUUUGGAUUAAUACCCCGUAACAUAACGAUGUGGCAUCACAUUGUUAUUAUAGCUUCGGCGCUUGUUGAUGGGUGUGCGGCUGAUUAGAUAGUUGGCGGGGUAACGGCCCACCAAGUCUACGAUCAGUAGCUGAUGUGAGAGCAUGAUCAGCCACACGGGCACUGAGACACGGGCCCG